ACCUGGGUGGCUCAGUUGGUUGAGCGUCCAACUUUGGCUUAGGUCAUGAUCUCACAAUUUGUGAGUUUGAGUCUCGCUUCAGGCU
Molecule: transfer RNA, 85 nt
Filed under: Felis catus (domestic cat)
Lineage: Eukaryota; Metazoa; Chordata; Mammalia; Carnivora; Felidae
Rfam family: tRNA
About the family: Transfer RNA (tRNA) molecules are approximately 80 nucleotides in length. Their secondary structure includes four short double-helical elements and three loops (D, anti-codon, and T loops). Further hydrogen bonds mediate the characteristic L-shaped molecular structure. tRNAs have two regions of fundamental functional importance: the anti-codon, which is responsible for specific mRNA codon recognition, and the 3' end, to which the tRNAs corresponding amino acid is attached (by aminoacyl-tRNA synthetases). tRNAs cope with the degeneracy of the genetic code in two manners: having more than one tRNA (with a specific anti-codon) for a particular amino acid; and 'wobble' base-pairing, i.e. permitting non-standard base-pairing at the 3rd anti-codon position.
Source: Rfam by way of RNAcentral